This 235-nucleotide ribosomal RNA is filed under the name uncultured bacterium. Its description in RNAcentral is "partial 16S ribosomal RNA". It matches the Rfam family "Bacterial small subunit ribosomal RNA", at positions 112 to 334 of the family's 1533-position model. The record is from RNAcentral.
AACACAUCGGAAUCUACCUUUUCGUGGGGGAUAACGUAGGGAAACUUACGCUAAUACCGCAUACGACCUUGGACCGGGAGGUCUUUGGUGAAAGCGGGGGCCCAGCGAUGGCCUCGCGCGGAUAGAUGAGCCGAUGUCCGAUUAGCUAGUUGGCGGGGUAAUGGCCCACCAAGGCGACGAUCGGUAGCUGGUCUGAGAGGACGACCAGCCACACUGGAACUGAGACACGGUCCAG